GAAUAACUCAGUUGGUAGAGCAUGAGACUCUUAAUAUCAGGGUCAUGGGUUUGAGCCCCACGUUGGGCA
Molecule: transfer RNA, 69 nt
Filed under: Podarcis lilfordi (Lilford's wall lizard)
Lineage: Eukaryota; Metazoa; Chordata; Lepidosauria; Squamata; Lacertidae
Description: tRNA.Lys
Source: RNAcentral